UACAGAGGUCCCAAGCGUUGUUCGGAUUCAUUGGGCGUAAAGGGUGCGUAGGCGGCGCGGUAAGUCGGGUGUGAAAUCUCGGAGCUUAACUCCGAAACUGCAUUCGAUACUGCCGUGCUUGAGGACUGGAGAGGAGACUGGAAUUUACGGUGUAGCGGUGAAAUGCGUAGAUAUCGGGAGGAACACCAGUGGCGAAGGCGAGUCUCUGGGGAUGAUGCUGACGCUGAGGCGCGAAAGCCAGGGGAGCAAACGGG
This 254-nucleotide ribosomal RNA is filed under the name uncultured bacterium. Its description in RNAcentral is "partial 16S ribosomal RNA". It matches the Rfam family "Bacterial small subunit ribosomal RNA", at positions 524 to 776 of the family's 1533-position model. The record is from RNAcentral.